This 520-nucleotide ribosomal RNA is filed under the name Hiatavolva rugosa. Its description in RNAcentral is "partial 16S ribosomal RNA". It matches the Rfam family "Bacterial large subunit ribosomal RNA", at positions 1809 to 2604 of the family's 2925-position model. Lineage: Eukaryota; Metazoa; Mollusca; Gastropoda; Littorinimorpha; Ovulidae. The record is from RNAcentral.
AAAAACAUGUCUCUUUGACUAUACAAACAUAAAGAGUCAGGCCUGCCCGGUGAAUAAGUUUUUAACGGCCGCAGUAUCCUAACUGUGCGAAGGUAGCAUAAUAAUUUGCCCUAUAAUUGGGGGCUAGAAUGAAAGGUUAAACGAGAGCGUAACUGUCUCUACAUUAAUUUUUCAGAAUUUGAUUUCUAGGUGAAGAAACCUAGAUAACAUUAAAAGACAAGAAGACCCUAUUGAGCUUUAAAAAAAAUAAAUAGGAUUAAUUGCAUAAUUAAAUUUAACUAUUUAGUAUUUUGGUUGGGGCGACCAAGGAACAACCAAAACUUCCUUAUAAUUUUAAAUCCUACAAAUGAUCCAAUACACAUUGAUCAAAGAAAUUAGUUACCAUAGGGAUAACAGCAUAAUCUCCUUUGCGAGUACCUAUUGAAAAGGGGGUUUGUGACCUCGAUGUUGGACUAAAAUAUCCUGAAGACGCAGCAGUCUUCAAGGGUUGGUCUGUUCGACCAUUAAAAUUUUACGUGAU